UCGGGAAUUUUGGGCAAUGGGCGAAAGCCUGACCCAGUAACGCCGCGUGAGGGAUGAAGUAUUUCGGUAUGUAAACCUCGAAAGAAUGGGAAGAAUAAAUGACGGUACCAUUUAUAAGCUCCGGCUAACUACGUGCCAGCAGCCGCGGUAAUACGUAGGGAGCAAGCGUUGUUCGGAUUUACUGGGCGUAAAGGGCGCGUAGGCGGCGCGGUAAGUCACUUGUGAAAUCUCUGAGCUUAACUCAGAACGGCCAAGUGAUACUGCUGUGCUAGAGUGCGGAAGAGGCAACCGGAAUUCUUGGUGUAGCGGUGAAAUGCGUAGAUAUCAAGAGGAACACCUGAGGCGAAGGCGGGUUGCUGGGCCGACACUGACGCUGAUGCGCGAAAGCCAGGGGAGCAAACG
RNAcentral lists this ribosomal RNA (402 nucleotides) under uncultured bacterium. Its description in RNAcentral is "bacterial SSU rRNA". It matches the Rfam family "Bacterial small subunit ribosomal RNA", at positions 355 to 774 of the family's 1533-position model. The record is from RNAcentral.